Marmota monax (woodchuck) is the source of this 5072-nucleotide long non-coding RNA. RefSeq lists it as uncharacterized. The record is from RefSeq and is a predicted model, not a curated record. NCBI's taxonomy places the organism in Eukaryota, Metazoa, Chordata, Mammalia, Rodentia, Sciuridae. The transcript is spliced from 3 exons.
AGGAAGACACACAGGCUCAAAAUUCUAAGUUCUUUUUCCAGACACCAAUGCAGGACUCUGCCAGGAUCCCCAGGCCACCAGAGGGUUCCACAGAGCACAGAGCGCCCCUGAGUUCCCCCUGCAGGCGGUGGACUUGGGCAGGGCCAAUAUGUCAGCUCCCCCUCUCGGAAAACAGGCAUCCCCUAUUGAGAGGAUUCCAGUGGCUGGUCCCCUAGAUCCCUUCCUGUCAGCUCUGUGCUCCUGUUUAGAGUUUGACUGUCCUCAGGCACUUCUCGGUCUCCAGGCAUUCGCAGAGGUCGUGCACACUGCCUGCAGAACAUGACAAGGCAGCUGACUAAGGCAAGACCUCAAGUGCGACGCGAUGGCAGCCACCAGACCAGCCACUAUGCACCCGAUUGCCGGACGUGAGGGCCACCAGCGCUGGCCUGUCUCCCCACCCCGGAGAUGUGACUAUCGGAAGCCAAUGGCGCAGAGGACCCAGUAAAGCAAGCGCAGUGGCUCUCCUGCACACUAGAGGCCACCACUUGGACCUGAGGCCACCUCCAAGGUGGAGGCUUGGUGCUCGGUCUGGCAGGAGCCCAGCUCAGCGCAAAGGAUACCACAGCCCGGGCUGUGGUGACCAGCACCUUCUGCAGGAGAGCACCAGUGCGCUGCCGCACCAUUGCCCUGCGAGGACGCCAACCCGCAGCGCCAGCCCCACUUUAUUCCUGGGGCCUUGCGCCUCCCGGCGGGGGAGGGGCUACUCGACCCGGGAACUAAGUGGAUGCCUGCGCGACACCCGCAGUCCCGCCUCCUGGGCUCGGCCUCUGAAUGGGAUUGUGGGUAUGCGGGAAAAGCCCUGAGUCAUUGGGUCAGGGAGGGGGCACUGUCACCGGAGCGCCUUUUUCUCCUGCUCUCUGUUUCUAACCCCAAUGACUCUCCUUGCCGCACCCAGGAUCCUGGGUUCAAGGACUUGGCAGGGACACUCCAUGACCAAAGGCCGGGCCUGGACCCGACACACACUCUUUAACUUCAUAGCUUAAAUCUAUUAAUAGUCACCUGUUAGUGUCAGACUGUUCUUUCCACUGCUAAACCAGUAAAAUUCAAAUGUUUAUUCCUAAACGUCGUUUGUGCUGUUCAAGAGUUUUAGUGAGCCUGGACCAAAAUAUUACAAUUUGACUGCACUGCUUUUUUUUUUUUUUUUAAGUGUGUGAAAUAAAUCACUCCCUGAAAAGCCUAAUGAAGUCUAGGAUAAUUUAAAUUUUUUAUAGAACUGCAAGUUUUUGUUGUUGUUGUUGUUGUUUUAAAGAGAGAGAGAGAGAAUUUUUUAAUAUUUAUUUUUUAGUUUUCGGCGGACACAACAUCUUUGUUUGUAUGUGGUACUGAGGAUCGAACCCCGGGCGCAUGCAUGCCAGGCAAGCCGGCUAUGCUUUAGCCACAUCCCCAGCCCAAACUACACGUUCUUUUUGUAAGAUGGUUUUGUAACACCUUUUCUAAACUCUGCAGGUGAUUGGCAUUUCAUCUGCUUUCUUUUCCCACUGUCACGAGCAGCUUCUCAGCCUUGUCUGGUUACCAGGAGUUCCCUUCCGGAUAUCUGCACUGGACCCCGGACCGCGACGUACGCGAACACCAAGCACGAACUCGAUUGCCUUUUGUUUAGUGUUUAUGGAAUUUAGAUAUUGUUGUAACUUUUUUGGACACCAUGUUUUGUAGGGUUUAACUAAAACUUGUGGCCAUCUAGGCAACGGCCUAGCUCCUUGUAAAUGUCUAGGGGAUGGUCUAUUGUGGGGUGGAUCUCUCCGGAAACGUUGCACCGAGGAUGUACAUAGUUCACAUCCAGAUAUCGCACGUUUACAUGUUCCCCAGCCACCCCAUGCACAGGGACCAUCGUCCUCCUAAGGAUUUUGGUGGGGGCACUCCCCUUUCAUUCCACCUUCAGCUUAGACGCCGGACGAUCACGGUCAUUCUAGGUUUUCAGUAGAAGAAAUUGUGCAUUGCCAUGUGGGUUAUAUUUACCUGCUCCGGAGCUCUUCUUCCGUAUCCUGCCGACUACGCCAACUGUCACGAGCAACUUCUCAGCCUUGUCUGGUUACCAGGAGUUCCCUUCCGGAUAUCUGCACUGGACCCCAGACCGCGACGUACGCGAACACCAAGCACGAACUCGAUUGCCUUUUGAAAUGCUGGUUUAUUCACACACCACACAAAGCAAUACACGAGGUGGCUGACUCACACUGCACGAUCUUACUCUCAGGCGAUGAGAGUUGAUUGUGAGCAAAUACAUGGAGUUUCCCUCGCGCUUAUAUACUCUAUAUGUUUACAACAAACUUGUUUAUGUCUAACUUAUCUAACAUAAGCACACUACCUAGUUACAUCAUCAACUUAUCUAACAUGGACAUACUAUCUAGUCAUCCUAUAACCAAAACAUGUUUACAACUAAAAAGUCACUUAGUCACUGCAAAGUCCAAAACAAGUCCAAAACAAAUCCUUUUGCUGAUUCAUGUUGUUUAUUCAUCCUUGAUGUUUACUCCUGUCACCCCCUCAAUUUUCAUUGUUUCUUUAGCAAGGAGUUACUUUCAGAAUGUUGCUCCAUGUUGUCAGUUCUUAAAUACUGUCUUUGUUUUAUUGUUUCAUAAUAGUUAUACAUACAUUCAACUUCAUUUUGACAUAACUAUAAAUGUAUGAAAUAAUUUACUCCAAUCAAGUCCUCAGUAUUUACCUGUACCCUUCCCCUCUUCCCUCCCACUGUUCCCUUUCCACUCCUCUACUGAUCCUCCUGAUUAUUUACUUUUUUUUUCUUUUCUUCUUCUUUUUUUCUUUUUUUUUUUUUUAAGUUAAGGUUUUGCAGUUAUAUAGAAAGGUGAGAUUCAUUGUAGUAUGUUCAUGUAUGUACUUUGGAAACUUAAGUCAGAUUCAUUUCACUCUUUUCCCCUAUCCCAUUCUCUCAAUCCCCUUCUUCUGCUCCCUGCUCUUGCUUUAAUUUUGAUGGAAUUCCCCCACCCUUUUUUUUCCCUGUGUCUCCAUCUGUCUGUCUAUCUUUCUGUCUCUCUCUCUCUGUAUUUGUAUCUGUCUCUAUCUGUCUGUCUCUCUCGCCCCUCUCUUUCAUUUUAGACUACCUUUGACUUUCUGAGUCAUUUAGCAUUAUAGUGUCCAGUACCGACUCAGAGACUUUGUGUAAUUUGGAGAGAGUGCCAUAGUGCAGGAGACAGGCCCUCAGACCAACAGCUACUUCCUAUUUUCCCAGAAGGAACAUCAGGCACUAGGUCAUGGUCUGCCCUUUGGCCUUCACCUUUGGUUUCUUUAUGCCUUUCCCAUGACAUUCUUUACCUGUUGUCCCAGAAUCCAGAGUCCUGCUCACAGAAGGACCCAGUGUCACAGGAGAGUAGGGAGCUCAAGCUCCAACCUCAGGUCUGGUGUCCUCAUAGAGGAUAAUCUAAAGUCAGACAGGAAAAGCCAAGCAAGAGAAUUUUCUUGUAGGAGUGAGAGCACAGUAGGGCUCUGCAGAGAGCUGAGAGAGAGAGUGGGUGGACUCCAGCAGAGAAGGGCAAAGGAACCAGUGCUGCUCCCAACUUGAAUGCUCUUUGCUGUUUACCAGGAGAAGUGGGUUCCUCCUCCUACAGUCUUUACCAAUCAGAUGCUGGUCUGCCCCUUCCCACCUGCUGGAGGAGUUUUUGACCCUAGUGGGUCCUCUCUGGAACUGUCAUGGUGACCAUCCUAUUCAGGGGGGCUGCAUCCACAAGUCAAUCCUAUCUUAAUGCAGGUGCUGGGGUCAGUGAGAGCAGACUUCAUCUUAGUGCAUCUGUGCUAUUAAUGAAAUUUCCCUUAGAAAUACAUUGAGAAACCUAUGGUCACAAAUACUAACUUUACAAUGACCUCAGUAGAUGAUGCCAGGAAUUAGCCUGGGUGAUCUCUUUCUUGACAGUAUUUCUUAAUAGACUCAAUUCAUUUCCAUCUGCUUAUUCUCAGGGUUAGUGCACCUGUUGUUCUGCAAAUUACCUGAUUGUUGUGAAAAAAAAAAUCAAAAAAAUCCCAGGAUCCUGCUGUGUUAUUGGCUCAAAUUUCACUGCUCUUUACUAACUACUACCUGACACUUGGACCUCCUGGUUUCUCUACUAGGUUCAACUUCAUAUGGCUUAGUUAAUCAUCACGAGGGUAUCUGACCCUGAACUAGUCCAUUGAGGUUGCUGAUUGUUCUAAGGAGACAUGCUUAUGUCUGUCAGCAUUUAACCUAAAGACACUGUCCUCUAGGGGACUCAGGAUCCUGCAUGGUUUUGCUUCAGCCCUUAUCCCACUGGGUACAGACAAAUAAGUGUUCCCUUACUGUCCUCACCUGGUAUAAAGGGCAGACUGCUAGGAAAAGAAAAAUUAAAAAUGCAAAUAUGAAUUCAUUUCCCCUCUCUCCAAAUAAGAAAUCAAAACCUUUACUAUGAAGGUGACCAGCUUUCCUGAUCAGUGGAAAUAGGAUUAUGCCACCAGCUCCAGAUAUAGCUCCAUGUUGGGGUGCAUGCAUAAGACCCUGGGCCCAGUGCCCAUCACUAAGCUCUAUAUAAAUGUUUGCGUUUUCUUGUUGCUUUUCCUUGACUGACUGGGAUGAAACAGAGGUUCUCAAGCAUACUACGAAAGUGCUCUCCCCCUGAACUAUAACCCCAUCCCUUUUGAAAUAUCAAACUAAUUUGCCCUGCUGGCCUCAACUUGGCGACUUUCCUGCCUCAGACUCCCAAGUCACUGGGAUUACAGGCAUUGCCACUUCUCAAUGCCCAAUCACUGCAGCAUACAGAGUUGACUGAGGCACCAAAAGGUAAUGUGAGUUAGUUCCAAUCAUCAAGUUAGUGGUUUGAUCCAACUGCACCUGGCCAUUUAGACACUUGAAAGAAAUCUCAUGAUCAGAGAAGUACUCCAUGAGCAGGGUGUGGUGGCACACAUCUGUCAUCCCAGAGAUCCAGAGGCCCAGGAAGGAGGAUUGCAAGUUUGAUCUGAGCCUGGGCAACUUAGUGAGAACCUGUCUCCAAAUAAAAAUUAAAAAAGGACUGGUGAUGCAGCUCAGUGGUAGAGCUCAGUUUAAUCCUCAGUACAAAAAAAAAAAAAAAAAAAAAAAA